RNAcentral lists this ribosomal RNA (429 nucleotides) under Actinomycetes bacterium. RNAcentral describes it as "Actinobacteria bacterium partial 16S ribosomal RNA". It matches the Rfam family "Bacterial small subunit ribosomal RNA", at positions 355 to 776 of the family's 1533-position model. The record is from RNAcentral. Lineage: Bacteria; Bacillati; Actinomycetota; Actinomycetes.
UAGGGAAUCUUCCGCAAUGGGCGAAAGCCUGACGGAGCAACGCCGCGUGAGUGAUGAAGGUCUUCGGAUCGUAAAACUCUGUUAUUAGGGAAGAACAAAUGUGUAAGUAACUAUGCACGUCUUGACGGUACCUAAUCAGAAAGCCACGGCUAACUACGUGCCAGCAGCCGCGGUAAUACGUAGGUGGCAAGCGUUAUCCGGAAUUAUUGGGCGUAAAGCGCGCGUAGGCGGUUUUUUAAGUCUGAUGUGAAAGCCCACGGCUCAACCGUGGGGGGUCAUUGGAAACUGGAAAACUUGAGUGCAGAAGAGGAAAGUGGAAUUCCAUGUGUAGCGGUGAAAUGCGCAGAGAUAUGGAGGAACACCAGUGGCGAAGGCGACUUUCUGGUCUGUAACUGACGCUGAUGUGCGAAAGCGUGGGUAUCAAACAGG